Molecule: long non-coding RNA, 478 nt
Organism: Homo sapiens (human)
Lineage: Eukaryota; Metazoa; Chordata; Mammalia; Primates; Hominidae
Source: Ensembl
GGAUGAAGCUGGGACUUACCAUGCACACCAGUUUGUUCUCCUGGGUCUCCUUCUCAAAGGAGACCUCUGCCACCUCAUCGCCUCCUGCGAUCCUCUCCCCAACAUCACCACUGAGUCGCAUCACCUCCACGUGCAGCCGACCUGCCACCUGCAGCAAUGAGGGAAGGCAGAAACAUUUCUCCAGAUUUGGAAACAAGGCAUGAAGAGAAAACCAACCUCUCCUUUCUGGUUGAUGAUGGGAACAGCGUAUUGUAACUUCACAUCAUAGAAAAGUGACUCGAGGAAGACAUUGGCCACCCCAAUGAGACUGUGAUUUUCCUGCUCAUCAUAGAAUGGAUCAGCACGUUUGAAGUAUGAUCGUAUUACCUGUAAAGAGAUUGAGAACACACAACUUCAGAAAAACCAUUUACAAUAAAUGCAUUCAACCUACUGCUUUUUGAUGCACUCUAGGUUAUUAAACUUAACUUUCAUCAUCCUA